Molecule: small RNA, 28 nt
Filed under: Bombyx mori (domestic silkworm)
Lineage: Eukaryota; Metazoa; Arthropoda; Insecta; Lepidoptera; Bombycidae
Description: ovarian small RNA-25489
Source: RNAcentral
UCACUUCUUUCGAUUCUUGGAAAAGUGU